RNAcentral lists this ribosomal RNA (551 nucleotides) under uncultured Nitrososphaerota archaeon. RNAcentral's name for it is "bacterial SSU rRNA". It matches the Rfam family "Archaeal small subunit ribosomal RNA", at positions 326 to 878 of the family's 1478-position model. Lineage: Archaea; Thermoproteati; Nitrososphaerota. The record is from RNAcentral.
UGGGGUGCAGCAGGCGAGAAAACUUUGCAAUGUGCGAAAGCACGACAAGGUUAGUCCGAGUGAUUUCUGCUAAAGAGAUCUUUUGCUAGUUAUAAAACCACUAGUGAAUAAGGGGUGGGCAAGUUCUGGUGUCAGCCGCCGCGGUAAAACCAGCACCUCAAGUGGUCAGGAUGAUUACUGGGCCUAAAGCAUCCGUAGCCGGCUCUGUAAGUUUUCGGUUAAAUCCAUGUGCUCAACGCAUGGGCUGCCGAAAAUACUGCAGAGAUAGGGAGUGGGAGAGGUAGACGGUACUCGGUAGGAAGGGGUAAAAUCCUUUGAUCUAUCGAUGACCACCUGUGGCGAAGGCGGUCUACCAGAACACGUUCGACGGUGAGGGAUGAAAGCUGGGGGAGCAAACCGGAUUAGAUACCCGGGUAGUCCCAGCUGUAAACGAUGCAGACUCGAUGAUGCAUUGGCAUAUAGCCAGUGCAGUGUCGCAGGGAAGCCGUUAAGUCUGCCGCCUGGGAAGUACGUACGCAAGUAUGAAACUUAAAGGAAUUGGCGGGGGAGCA